Cotesia glomerata is the source of this 492-nucleotide long non-coding RNA. RefSeq lists it as uncharacterized. The record is from RefSeq and is a predicted model, not a curated record. The transcript has 2 exons. Lineage: Eukaryota; Metazoa; Arthropoda; Insecta; Hymenoptera; Braconidae.
UCUCUCGAGGUUUCUAUCUACCUCUAAACAGGUCUGAGCCUGUUCAAGGUCAUGUAACUACGCAGUUUUUUUUGUUCUAUUUCUACUGCGUAGCAGAUGACGUCAUCAAACAGGUUUAGGCUUGUUUAAGGUAGAGUAGUUGGGGUAACUGCGCAGUAGAUGACUCAUUCUGAUCUAGAAUUUUCUUACUGCGCAGUAGAUGACGUCAUCAAACCGGUUUUGAGGUAGAGGAGUGGGGGUAACUGCGCAGUAUUUUCUGCCUAUAUAAGCAGCUCGCCGAGAGCGUACUUCACAAAAACGAAGUGCACGUCUCCAGUGAAGUACAACAUCUCGCCGACUACAAGUUUUAUUGAAGUACGAGUACUAUAUAUUACUUUCAAGUCUUUCAAACAUGAUCUUUCCAACCUGAAUGAGGUUAAUUGUUUGGUAGGAAUCCUACCUGUCAAGAAAAUGAAUGAGUUGGAGUUUAAUUGGGAGUACAAAAUCAAAGGG